UGAUAAGAUGAUCAGGUGUCACCAUUAAAAUAAUCAAGUUAUGUAGCCACUAUAUAAAGCUAUAGGUCGGCAUUAGAAGCCCCAAACUCUUGACAUAAUAGCGAAGGAAUGGCAGAACGGGAGCUUGUGUAGUGUCGGCUCAGGUUAGAGAGGGUA
This is a long non-coding RNA of Thalassophryne amazonica, 156 nucleotides long. RefSeq lists it as uncharacterized. The transcript has 4 exons. Lineage: Eukaryota; Metazoa; Chordata; Actinopteri; Batrachoidiformes; Batrachoididae. The record is from RefSeq and is a predicted model, not a curated record.